This 2231-nucleotide ribosomal RNA is filed under the name Candidatus Nomurabacteria bacterium RIFCSPLOWO2_01_FULL_36_10b. Its description in RNAcentral is "bacterial LSU rRNA". It matches the Rfam family "Bacterial large subunit ribosomal RNA", at positions 13 to 1997 of the family's 2925-position model. Lineage: Bacteria; Candidatus Nomuraibacteriota. The record is from RNAcentral.
ACAAGAGCAUAUGGUGGAUGCCUAGGUUUGAAAUGGCGAUGAAGGACGUGGACAAUCUGCGAUAAGUCUCGGGGAGCCGAUUCUCAGGCUUUGAUCCGGGAAUUUCCUAAUGGGGGAACCCCUCUGCUUUUAUAGGCAGAGAUCCGACAGGGAUAACUUCUGUUGGAGGCGCACCUGGGGAAGUAAAACAUUUCAGUACCCAUAGGAAAAGAGACCAAAUAAGGAAUUUCCUUAGUAGCGGCGAGCGAAACGGAACCAGCCCAAACCCUCCUUCGCUUUGUGCUUCGCACAAAGCUUCGGAGGGCGCAGCCUUAUAUACAAGGGGCCGUGCCCUCCCGAAGCUCGUAGCGGAGCGUAGAGCGAAGGAGGGGGUUAUAAGACAAUAGACAUCAUAUGAUGCGCGAUGGGCUUGACUCAUUUAACGAGUCGAGCAUGUCGUGCAGACAGGAUGAGCGAGGUUACAAAUCGUGAGGAUAGGAGAAAGUGCUGGAAAAGCACUAUCAGAGAGGGUGAUAAUCCCGUAUCCGAAAUCUGAACGACCUUUUUUAUUGCUCUUGAGUACUUCGAGACAUGAAUAGCUCGGAGGAAUUUGCCAGUACUCACUGGUAAGGCUACAUACAUUUCAAAACCGAUAGUGAACAAGUACCGUGAGGGAAAGGUGAAAAGAACCCCGGCAAGGGGAGUGAAAUAGAACUGAAACCAUAUGUUUACAAAGAGUCGAAGUCGCGUCUGACGCGACGACGGCGUGCCUAUUGAAGAAUGAGCCAACGAGUGUAUCGAUACUGCUCGGCUAAGGUGUUACGCACCGUAGUCACAGCGAAAGCGAGUGUGAUAAGCGCGACCAAUGUAGUAUCUAUACGACCCGAAGCAGAGUGAUCUUACCAUGAGCAGGAUGAAGUUCGCCGAAAGGCGAAUGGAGGUCCGAACCGGGGCGCCGUACGAAACGCUCGGAUGACUUGUGGUAGGGAGUGAAAAGCUAAUCGAACUCUGUAAUAGCUGGUUCUCUCCGAAACAGCUUUUGGGUUGGCGUCAUGAGUUCCCACUGGGGGUAGAGCACUGGAUAGUAUCGGAUAGCGGGAAACCGCGCCGAGCUUAUCAAACUCCGAAUACCAGUGGCCAUAUCAUGGCAGUUAGUCUAUGGGCGCGAAGGUCCAUUAGACAAAAGGGAAACAGCCCAGAUCGCCAAAUAAGGUCCCUAAAUCUAUGUUAAGUGCAAGUAAGGAGGUGAAGUUUCUCCGACAAUCAGGAGGUUGGCUUAGAAGCAGCCACCCUUUAAAGAUAGCGUAACAGCUCACUGAUCAAGAGACUCUGCACCGCUAAUAAUCGGGGCUCAAACAUAGUACCGAAUUUGCGGGUUUUCUUGCCCUCGGGCAAGGAAGCGGUAGGAGAGCGUUGUCAUCUGCGUUGAAGCUGAAGGGGUAACCCACAGUGGAGCGUUGACAAGUGAGAAUGUUGGCACAAGUAACCACAACACAGGUAAAAUCCCUGUGCGCCGAAAUCCCAAGGUUUCCCGGGCUACGUUGAUCGACCCGGGGUUAGUCGGUCCUAAGGUCAUGGUGACAAACCGCAGCCGAUGGACACACGGUUAAUAUUCCGUGACGUGUAUCUAUGUCUAUGGGGUGACGGAGGAAAUAAUUAUGCGCGUCUUAUUGGAUUGACGUACGUGUCCGAAGAUAGGAAUUCUAGGUAAAUCCGGAAUUCACAUACUAUCAAGGAAGCGUGGAAGUUUGUCGCAAGACAGACGAACGCAUAUGAAUAGCCUCCCAAGAAAAACCUCUAAGAUUACGUAGGUACACACCGUACCGCAAACCGACACAGGUGGGAAGGUCGAGAAGACCAAGGCGAACGAGUGAGAGGUCCUCAAGGAACUCGGCAAAAAAGCAGCCGUAACUUCGGGAUAAGGCUUGCCACGCUUAGCGUGGCUGCAACAAAAGUUUCUCUGGCGACUGUUUAUCAAAAACACAGCUCCCUGCGAACUCGUAAGAGGAUGUAUAGGGGGUGACACCUGACCAAUGCCAGAAGGUCAAAUAUGGAUGGUUUAUGCUUUGCUUGCAAAGCAUAGGCUGAGCUAUAUAAGCCCUGGUGAAUGUCGGCCGUAACUAUAACGGUCCUAAGGUUCUGUUUCUCUUAGCAAUAAGGGAAACAGAUAGACUGGGACUGUUGUAGGAUGAAGAUAAACAAAUAAAAUUACACAACGCUGCCUAUCAGUUGUAAUAACUGAUGUCAUAAAA